AUACGGAGGAUCCGAGCGUUAUCCGGAUUUAUUGGGUUUAAAGGGUGCGCAGGCGGCCAUUUAAGUCAGCGGUUAAAUCGUGGGGCUCAACCCCAUUCUGCCGUUGAUACUGGGUGGCUUGAUUGCGGUCGAGGUUGGCGGAAUUCGUUGUGUAGCGGUGAAAUGCAUAGAUAUGACGAAGCACACCGAUUGCGUAGGCAGCUGACCAGACCGCAAAUGACGCUCAUGCACGAAAGUGCGGGGAUCGAACAGGAUUAGAUACCCUGGUAGUCCGCACAGUAAACGAUGAAUACUUGUUUUCGGCGAUAUAAUGUCGGAGGCAAAGCGAAAGCGAUAAGUAUUCCACCUGGGGAGUACGCCGGCAACGGUGAA
This 372-nucleotide ribosomal RNA is filed under the name uncultured bacterium. RNAcentral's name for it is "partial 16S ribosomal RNA". It matches the Rfam family "Bacterial small subunit ribosomal RNA", at positions 523 to 898 of the family's 1533-position model. The record is from RNAcentral.